CGGUGGCCCCCACGGCGCCAGCGACGAGUAGAGCGCCGGUCACCGGUGACCCCCGUAGCAUUCGACGUGCUAAAGAAUGAAAGCCGCUGAAGAGUAAAACUAAAGUGGAAGAAGGAAAGAAAGCCGAAAAACCGAAAUCGAUCCAGCUGUAAGAGAAUUAAACAGUGGAGAGUGGCGCAGAGCGGGGUCACGCGCUCGAUUCUAAUUGUACCUUUUAGCUGUAGGGCUCUUAGCUGUUCUCCUUGGAAAGAACAAUAACACUUGCGCGCCGGUGUACGUCCCUGAACAUGGUGGGGCGGCAACAAACACGGAGCACGAAACGGAGCAAAAGGUGGGGUGGCUUAACGGCGGCGGCGGCGGCGGCGGUGGCGACAAAGGAAGAUGUGCAGGUGGUACACACAGAGCACGGCGCCAGCAUCGCCCUCGCGAAAAUCAUGAAUGAAAACGGGCGAGCAGCCAGCACUACUGCGUGCUAUCAUGCAGCCACCGCGUAUGGAUCUCCUCUCGUCUCUCCCUUUCGAAUGCAUUGGCCGGCCAACAGCUCUCUCGCGUUCUCUUUAGUCUUUAGCAAGCGUGGCGGUAGCGGCAGCAGUGCCGCUGCCUUUUGUUCGCGUCGCGCUGAGAAAAGGCGAUCCGCUCUUACCAACACGCCCUUCUUCGUCGCCGCCUAACUGUCGCGCGCAAGCAAGGGCAGCAUUAGUUUGCACAAUAUCGUGUGAACGACAUCCCCCCGUUUUAAGAGGUUUAUUUAGGCACCUGUAUCUCAUCGGCGUCGCAUGCCCCGGCUAAACUACCCGAAUCGUUAGCACGCUUAUUAGCGACAACUUCUGGCCUGCCUUGGGAUAUUCGGGCUACCGUGUUUCUGUACGGAUGUAUAGCUACAAUUGUAGGAAAUAAAUCAUAGAGAAUAUCGAGGAGGUUAUACCGAGGAUGUAAGGUAAAGACAUAAGAAAAUGUGGAAAAUUUUGUAAGUUUGAGAAAGACGAUCUGUGAAUGGCUCGUACGGAGAGUUACGUUGUUGCUGAUGAAAUACUCUCGACACAGUUACAUUCAUAUUAACGCUUUGGCGUAUAAAUUUAUUAGUAAGUUUAACCAGUAGCCGGUGAUUUUUCCUAAAAAUUUCAUGUUCUUGAACUUUACGUAAAUGAACGGUUUGCGCGUGACACCAAUAUUAACGUUUAGCUUGCGAACUUGAGGACACGUUCAUGCCAACGGAGAGUGUUAACGAAGAUAUCUUCAGUUUGGAGAAAAUACGGAAGAAAAAAUUACAGAUUUUACAGUUACAGUAAUUUUGAUGUUCGUACGGAUCUAAAUUAUUCGUCAACAUCAGGUUGUCCGUUCUUCCAAUGCAGCUUCUUCGAAAGCUAUAUUAAUAUCACAAGCGAUGUGUCCAAGUUUAAACUCACAUCAACCUGCAGAUUUAAACAAGAAGUUAUCACCAAUUACGAAUGCCUUCUUUUGGACAAGAGAUUAAUAGGUAAAUUGUCAGGUGCGCUAUGCUUCAUACAACAGAUUCAGUUGGUUUAACAGUUUAACAUACGAUUAUCAUACAUAACGUCUUAAAAAAAUUCAACGUUAUAUUCCCCAGCUUCUUUUUAUGUUAUCUAUACUGAGCUUGGACUAAUUAUAGGUAAUUAAAAUGUAUACUAUGAUAUAUGUGGUAUAAGGUGCAUAAGUUAUAUAACUCGUCGUAAGUUGAUUAGUAUACAUUAAACGCUCGUUCGUCGAGAUAAAAAAAUAGACAUGAUAAUUCUGUGCCUAUCGGAUUAUCCUCUUUUUCCCCCGAGUAUUUUAUUUUUUUAUUCUAUGUGUAUUUUAUUUUUCUUCCGUUUAAACAAUUCCUCAUACCUGCCGUUACGUCCGAGUACGCGUUUUUAUUUUUAUUUUAACCCGUCGUUGGCCGUUGUUUCGAACGUUCGUUGAAACAACAUAUUCGAGACAAUGUUUCAGUAUUUAUUACGUAUUUAUUUAGCCUCUGAAAAUAUGCUACUCAGCGACCUUCUUUUUUUCUUCAGGUUUUAUUAUGUAGGUGGAACAGUCUUCGAGAUUAUGAUAUUUGUAUGGGCAGACUUUUCUACACGUUGUUAUGGCGCGUGUGUUUCUUUCGUGUAUCAACUUACUUCUACGAAUAGAUCGUUAUAAUUACGAAGUACGCAGAAAUUGUUCGUGGGCUAAUAUUGCUCAAUGGCGUACUAUUCUAAUGAAUAGAUCAUUAGUCACAGAUACGUAUAACACGAGACACUAACAAUUGUUGUUUGAUACAGUCGGUACGAGCGAGCUGCAAGCUCUUCCUUCUUCUUCCAAUUCGUCAAAAUUCCAGUCGCUUGAAUUCAUCGAUCGAAUUUAACGAAAAAAUGAUAUGAAAACACGGACCUAUGUAUAUGUAUAUAAGUAUACGCGUACGUGAAACGCAAGCGAGUAAAAAAAAAAGAGUUUAAAUCGUAAGAGAGCGAGAGGAAGAUGUACGUGUCUCUGAAAUGUUGAAAACGGUGUGAAACAGCGAGAAGCUAAAAAAUGUCCAAUUUGCAAGUUGUAUGCGUAUCGAUGGAUAUUAAAUAACUUUUGCGAUUCUUGAAAGUGAAAAUUAGCGUAUUAAAGUUACUCUAACGGGUGCGGGAAUAAUUAACACGACUAUGUUCGAACGAUUUUCUAUGAACCAUGCUGGGAGAAUAACAAUUUUGAUUUUCAGCGGUGAACAGCUUUUUAAUCGAAUUAAAUUAGUCAGAAAUUUACAAAACACGCGCCUGAACAAAUAUACUUCGUUGCGAUCGUUUUGGAUUGUAGCGCGAAAGAGGAAGAUAAGAUGCAUAAAACGCUUCGAAAGCACACGACCUGCGUAUAACGCUAGCCAUUUUCAACUCUAAUUGAAAUUCUCUGUAAAUGAACAACAACCGAUAAAUUUCUCAAUUUUAAUUCCGCUCGAGAAAAUUAUCGAUUUACCGUAACACGAGUACGAAACCGUCAACGAUAUCUUACGAACGAGUCGUUUCGUUAACCGGAAACAAGCCCGCCAGCCAAAAUAUAGGAAAACACUGGAAAGGAAAAUUCUGGCUGAUAAAAUUUCAUGCGAUAAAGAAUGACGCAAUAGGCAUGUUAAGUAUAGAUACAUCUGUGUGGUCUAAAAAUACCAAUUAGCGUUCGAUGGAACGUCGAGCGGAUGUACGCUCGUGACGAGAGGACAAGGGUGACAUGAGAACGCUCCAAGGAAAUUCCAUUCGAAAUUUCCAGCGCGCGAUCUAUGAAAUAUCCGAGCGGUGGGGGCCGAGAGGCAGGCUGAACGUUUUCGAAACAAUUUUUAUCGCGCUCUCGGAAGGCUGAGUGGGAGGAAGAAGAAGCUGGUUCCUCGAUGUACAUAUGUGCGUUGACUUUAUGGCCGAUGAAUGUGGAAGAAUUGCGAUUGGCGAAGCCGAUGGCACAGAGUAGCGCGGUAAAUUGCUAUGAAAGACAGGGCUGCGCGAGCCUCGAGCCUGGUUUAAAAAUAAAGGACACAUCAUGGAAGGACAAGAGGAAGGAAGACAGAGAGAAUGCAUCGAAUGCACGAAAGGAGACGACACGGAAACGGGCAGACGUGGAAAGGCUGGCGGUUGAAUGAAGAAGGGACAGGCAGGGGAGCAGAGGGAGCAGCAAGGAGAGGCGAAGCUAAGGAAGAAACAGGAAGCCGAGCAGGAGAAUGGCGGACAGACGGAGGAAGAGCGUGCAAGGGUGGUGCGAAACGUAGUACGAUAACCGUAUAUAUACGACGCUCCGCCAGUCUCAUCGACCUAAAACCGAGGCGAACUCGGCGAGAGUGGCGGCGAGGCCGCGAUGGAGACGCCGGCAGUGGUGUAACUCGCUGUGCAAUCGGGGCUGCGAACGAUAUCGAAUGAGCAAGCGAGACAUCGGCCGAGAUACGUGUGCGAAAAAGAAGAAAAGAAGAAGAGGGAGAAAAAGGAAGAGAGCGAGCAGCCAGCCGAGCAAACAAGUUAAUGAAUGAACGAACGGAAUGGUGGGCGGGGCACGGCCACGUUCUUCCGUUGUACUUUCCGCGCCGCUGUCACCCAACACUCGCCUCGUUCUUAUCGAGUCUACGAAGAGACGAUUCUGUGGGAAAACCGAGGAAAACCGGUGUACGGCCGCCUCAGGAACCCGUCGACCACGCGUGUGCGUGCACGUUCGCACCUAGCCCCCGGAUCAACGUGUGUGCUACAUCGCUGCUAUUGAUUUUGUUCGGAUACCCGCGUACCCCUGCUGCAACUCCGCCACGGAACCGACCAAUGAUACCUUAAUAAUUAACCGAUUAUGCAAUCUCGGCUUUGGAAUAUCGCAGCAAAUUGCUUCGUUGAUGUCUUUUUGGGCGAGACGAAGCGGUCGUGUGGUCGUCCGAAGCAGCUGCUACUCCCUUCGUGUCUCUAAAACGGUUUAAUUUUUACAAGAUGGCUCGACCUUCGAUUCUCAACGACUGGCUCGUCGAGAGAAAAUUUUCAAAGGUACCUUGCAUUGCAAAUACACCGUCGUUGCGUUGUAUCGUUACGAGCGAUACGUUUGAUGGAAAAUGGUAGGUUCAUGUUUGGAUAAUUAGCUUCCCUACCGUUAGAUUGGUACGGAAGGUGUUAUUGGUUUCGCUCCACUUUUAUUAAUAGCUGUAUUAAUGGUCGUUUGCUAUGUAUAUUCCGCUGUUAUGAUUAUUGCGCAUUUGAAAAGUUGAGUAAUAUGUUGUAAAAAAGCGAAUAUACAAGCAUUUUAUUACUUUUCUCACGAAGUAUCUUUUUAGGACACACUGUGCUGUAUUCUGUAUUUUAUACACGCGAAGAAGUAUCAUUUGAGCUGCCGGAAGCCACGUCGUCGAUCAAGUCCAUAGUUUGUAAAAAUUGAAAGCGUAGAGGAUAUAACGAAUAUAGAAGAAAUUGACGACUCUGGAUAUUACUUUAGAAAAUUUUCCUUGAAAUUUGUUAUCGUUUGCGCUAUCUGCUUGUAACGAGGAAAAUAGAAAUAAGUCGUUUGUGUUUCGAGACGCUGGGUAGCAAUUACGUACGCAAGCGACGAAAUUGAAAAAUCCACAAAGAGCGGAGCUGAUCGGUUCGAUCUCUGAGACACUCGCCCGCCUGUCGUAUUGGCAAAAAUCGAUAUAUGGAUUGUAGAAAAAUAGAACAUGAAACGUGAUAUUUAGAUAUAAAAAUAAGCAAUUAAAGAUAAAUUGAUAAAUUGGAAAUUAGGUCCCAAUUGAGGUAUCCAAUUUCCUCGACAAAUACGAACGUAUAUCUGUUUCGCAUUUUCGUGGAAAAUAAAACUCUGCGAAAGUCAGCGAGAAUUUUACGUACGCGCUCGAGCAGAAACAUAUUAAAUAUAAUACACCUGCAUGAACGCGAUCAGGAUUUUAAUUAGGUGAACAAUUCACCCGUAUCGUAGAAACGUAUCCGGCUUGCCGAAUUUCUACGGUCGUAACCUCCGCCGAUUAGAACACACUGCACCCGCGAGACCAAUAACAUUCAGUUUAGUAAUUCAUGCCUACACGAAUACUUCGAUUUUAGCAACCGGCGAUUCGUUUCGGCUACCGCGCGCUAAAUCAAUCCUACGUUAUACACCUUGCAAUUAUACCAUAGAACGCGACACACCAGCGAUUACGUGUCGCAGUUCAAUCUAAAAAGAUAAUUUAGAUCUAAAAAGAUAAUUUAAAUUUAAAAAGAUACGAGAACUCGCUCGAAAAAUAAGGCAUACAGAAAACUAUUUCAAAAUUCGCGCCACGGCGUGUAGUACGCUGGCAGAUCUGCGUGGUCGGCAGCGCUAGGUGCGAACUUUUUCCAAAAAUAAUAAACAGCGUUCGUUUGUCCACGUUCGUCCAACCAAAAUUAUCGUCUGUCCAAUCUUCGACAAAAAGUUAUCAGCGAAAUUCGAUAUGGGAACCGGUCGCGAUCCACGGUUACCGAUAUUCUCGUGGCUCGUUCGAGUAAUCGGACACUUCUUGCAGAUAACACUGUCGGUGCAAAACAUCGAGUCUCGCAGGAGCGAGAGAAGGCUCCUGCGACCUAAAAUUAUUCCGGACAUUUCAUUUGUUUCGAUCGUUAUGAGAUUUUAAGCGUAAAAAAGAUACAAACGCGUCAGAAGGUUUUCUACUUUUGCCACUGACAUGGUCGACAACCGAGUGUAACGUUCAUCUAAAUUUGCAAACGCCGUAUCAAUCUCGUUUAUCUCUAGAUAACUUGUAUAAGAAAACAAAGAAUAUUUUUCUUCAGCAUGUUCUUUUUAUUUUUCUUACAAAAGUAUAUUAUACGAUGUUGCCAGUAAGUACUGUCAUAAAUAAAACUGAUGAUAUUUAGCAUCCAUUUAGCUGCUCGAGCAUUUUUAUCGUUUAACUUACAUUGUUUUACACAGAGGAUGUUGCGACGUUGCACGUACCUUUUAACGCUAUUGGUAAUUAUUUACGAAUGAAAAUUGCUCUUAAAUUCUACGCUACGGUGUCCCCAUUGUAGGACGUUGUACGAUAAAAAGAAAAAAACCAACAUAUUUGCUCGUUUCUGCACUUACAGUGUCGUCUAAGAGAAAUCUUCAAUUAUUCGCAUAAGCGCGAUUGAACCACAAAUAUAUAGAGGUCAGAUGCAUCGCCUAUUGAUCUUUAGUUAUACGUAGAUGUUGGAGUACUCGGCUAGCCGGGUAUCAGCAGCUGUAACUCACGGUUGUGCCGUGCGGAAGGUUUCCAGGGCGGUGGAAGCUCCAUCGUCGCCGCCACCACCGCCAUCGCCAUCGCUAUCGCCACCGCCACCGCCACCGCCACCGCCAUCGCCAGCACCAGGGGUGGGUCGAUAGAUGCCGACGUGGAAAGCAGGAGCGCUUUAGCCGUCCCAGCCGCAGCACCACCGCCCCGAUAUAUUUACGCGCUACCCUUCUCUCUCUCUCUCUCUUGCUCUUCCUCUCUCGCAUAUUUUCUCCAACUACGCCGUUUUUCUGCUAUCAUUCUGCCGUUGCAAGUCGUUUCUUUCGUCUUGCCCUCGCGUAUCAAUUUGCCCAGAGUGUUUUAUUU
Bombus pyrosoma is the source of this 6994-nucleotide RNA transcript. RefSeq lists it as uncharacterized. NCBI's taxonomy places the organism in Eukaryota, Metazoa, Arthropoda, Insecta, Hymenoptera, Apidae. The transcript is spliced from 4 exons. The record is from RefSeq and is a predicted model, not a curated record.